RNAcentral lists this ribosomal RNA (274 nucleotides) under Paenibacillus sp. ISO40_OTUUnclustered. RNAcentral's name for it is "partial 16S ribosomal RNA". It matches the Rfam family "Bacterial small subunit ribosomal RNA", at positions 29 to 289 of the family's 1533-position model. Lineage: Bacteria; Bacillati; Bacillota; Bacilli; Caryophanales; Paenibacillaceae. The record is from RNAcentral.
ACGAACGCUGGCGGCGUGCCUAAUACAUGCAAGUCGAGCGGACUCUUGGCAAUCUUCGGAUUGCCCUGGGUUAGCGGCGGACGGGUGAGUAACACGUAGGCAACCUGCCUGUAAGACUGGGAUAACCCACGGAAACGUGAGCUAAUACCGGAUAAUUGAUUUUCUCGCAUGAGGAAAUGAUGAAAGAUGGAGCAAUCUAUCACUUACAGAUGGGCCUGCGGCGCAUUAGCUAGUUGGUGGGGUAAUGGCUCACCAAGGCGACGAUGCGUAGCCG